This 282-nucleotide ribosomal RNA is filed under the name uncultured bacterium. Its description in RNAcentral is "partial 16S ribosomal RNA". It matches the Rfam family "Bacterial small subunit ribosomal RNA", at positions 28 to 309 of the family's 1533-position model. The record is from RNAcentral.
GAUGAACGCUAGCGGCAGGCUUAAUACAUGCAAGUCGAGGGGUAACAUGGUAGCAAUACUGAUGACGACCGGCAAACGGGUGCGGAACACGUACAGAACCUUCCUUUAAGCGGGGAUAGCCCAUAGAAAUGUGGAUUAAUACCCACUAGUAAUAUUGACUGGCAUCAGUUGGUAUUUAAAGAUUUAUUCACUUAAAGAUGGCUGUGCGGCUGAUUAGGUAGUUGGGCGGGUAACGGCCCACCAAGCCAGCGAUCAGUAACUGGUGUGAGAGCACGACCAGUC